GAAAAUCAAGUUCUCAUGAAAUGAAAAACAUUAUUCAAUAAAAAAUAAAACCCAAAUCUAAAAACUUCAACCUUCAACCGCCACCUUCAACCAUCAAUCUUCAUAUAAUAGAUAAUUAUUUUAGAUGUUCAAUAUAUUUUGAAUACAUAUUAGGAAUUGAAAUCAUGUUUGGUACAAGUUCUUUUUAGAAAUUUUAAAUGUUUCGGGUUCUAUCGGGUAUCUAUUUAGGUUCGGGUUCGGUUCGGAUAAUACCCAUAACCCGAAAUAUCAUAAAACAAAAUCCAUUCGGUUUUUAUGUCGGGUUUGGAUCGGUUCGGAUUCAUUUUUAUCGGGUCGGGUUCGGUUUGGGUUUUUGGAUUCGGUUUAUUUGCCCAGCCCUAUUCCAAAUAUUGGGAGAAAAGCUACACAUACGGGGAAACUAAAACCCCAAACAAAAGAAAUAAAGAACAAAAAGAAUCAUAACCACACUGAGAUGGAUAAAACAAAAGAAUAUAGCGACUCCAACACUAAUUAAUCCGAUAAAAAGGAAGAAGAAAAUAAAGUUGAAGAAUCGAUUUUUGCCAUUGUAUUUAAACUGAAUUUGCUUAGUACUAUAGUAAAAAUUAUUAGUCGUAGCAGUUAUUAACGCACCAAACUAAAAGCGUGGAAAUUCUUAUCUCGACUUUUAACACGUUAGAGAAAAAAUUUAUUGUGAGGAGGAAAUCCUUUUCAUAAAUUAUACAUUUUCAGGUAGAAUAUUAGACCAUGAAAGGUUUAUCCGUAUUGAAUUUGGUUUAUUCUAGAAAGUAUAUGAAGGGAAACAAAACUCAUAACAUGGAGGCAUGGACCAUUCGGAUUUGAAAUGAAUAAAAGAGAGAUUCUCAGCCAGGCAAUAGUUUUGUCAGGUGAUGGCCGGGCCUUAUUCAAUUUUUAGUUUGCGAUUGGUUUUCCUUACUCCCGCGUAGUCUCGCUACCCAACUUUAUCCAAACUUAUUAUCGACAAAAAUUCAAAUCAAAUCUUUUUCAAAAAAAAAAAAAUUCAAAUCAAAUCAAGUUGGUUACGCUCACAGUUUAACCACAAAAAUAUAAAAGUAAUCUUAUUGGCAAAAGUUCUAAAAUAAAAAUUUAGAGAAAAUUGCAUAAAAACCCUAAACUUUAAAUUUUGAAGUUUUUUCAAUAACACUUUCAACCUUCAAAUUGACAUUUGUAUCACAAAAAAACACUCCAAAAAAAAACUGGUUAAAUAGGUAAAAAAAUUAUGUUUCAGUUUUUUUUCUCCAAAAAAAUAUUUAAUAAAUAAAAAAACAAAUUCAGAAAAUUAAAUACAAAUUCAUAAAAUUGAAUAAAAGUUCAUAAAAUUAAAUAAAAAUUUCAGAAAACAAAAAAAAAUCAGAUAUUAAAUAAAAAUUCAGAAAAUUAAAUAAAAAUAAAAUAAUUAAAAAUUCAAAAAAAUAACUAAGAUUAAAUUAAAAUAUAGAAAACCAAAAUAUUAAUUCAUAAAAUCAAAAAAUAAAAUAAAAAUAUAUAUAUUUAAAUUACAAGAUUUCUUUAAAAAAUGUAUCAUAUCAUCGUUGACAAUAUUAAUUUCAAAUAUAUUACCAAUGAAUAUGAUGGUUUCUCACACAACCAUUAACAAUGACGGUUUUUUGGCAUAACAAAACUUUUUUGAGUUUUUGAAUUUUUUUUAAAAAAAUUAUGAUUUUGUUUUAGUUUUCUCUAUUUUAAUUUGAUCUUAUUUAUUUUUAAAAAUAUUAGUUAUUUUUUGUUUUAUUUAAUUUUAUAAAUCUUUAUUUAAUUUUCUAAUUUUUUUAAUUUUAUGAGUUUUAUGAGUUUUUUUCAAAUUUUCUGAUUUCUAUUAUAUUUUUAUUAUUAUUAAAUCAUUAUUAU
This 1866-nucleotide long non-coding RNA is filed under the name Brassica rapa (field mustard). RNAcentral describes it as "long non-coding RNA (BRAP_LNC005205)". The record is from RNAcentral. Lineage: Eukaryota; Viridiplantae; Streptophyta; Magnoliopsida; Brassicales; Brassicaceae.